This is a long non-coding RNA of Thalassophryne amazonica, 249 nucleotides long. RefSeq lists it as uncharacterized. The transcript is spliced from 3 exons. NCBI's taxonomy places the organism in Eukaryota, Metazoa, Chordata, Actinopteri, Batrachoidiformes, Batrachoididae. The record is from RefSeq and is a predicted model, not a curated record.
UCUCAACGGGGGAUAUAUAUUCUAUCCAUGCAUUGGUUUCUGUAUGUAAUUUUAUGUAGGGUGAGCAUCUUCCUGGUUUUAAUAUCUAACUUAUUAAGCUCAUCCUGUGGCCAGUCUAUUAUGCCAAACCCAUAGCUCACCACAGGCAAUGCAAACUGGUUCAUGGCUGUGAUCUUGUUCUUUGGUGUCAAUUCUGAUUUACAGAUCUUCUUUAAGUGGUUUAGGUAUUCUUGUGCAACUAUCUCUCUG